This 309-nucleotide ribosomal RNA is filed under the name Triticum aestivum (bread wheat). RNAcentral's name for it is "partial small subunit ribosomal RNA". The record is from RNAcentral. Lineage: Eukaryota; Viridiplantae; Streptophyta; Magnoliopsida; Poales; Poaceae.
AUGGCAAUUGUCCAUACCUACGGGAAGCCUGACAUCUUCUUGACCAUGACCUGCAACCCUAACUGGGAAGAGAUAACGAAUGAGUUGUUUCCUGGUCAGACAGCGCAAGACCGACCUGAUCUUUUGGCUCGUGUGUUCCAUGGCAAGCUAGAGGCUAUGAAAGAGAUGUUGUUCAAGAAGAAUAUCCUGGGUGUUGUUGUUGCACAUGUAUACGUAGUCGAGUUCCAAAAGAGGGGCCUCCCCCUCGCACACUUUUUGUUGAUCAUGGAUUCUGCCUAUAAGCUUGUCGUUCCAGAUCAGUACGACUGA